This 491-nucleotide ribosomal RNA is filed under the name uncultured bacterium. RNAcentral describes it as "partial 16S ribosomal RNA". It matches the Rfam family "Bacterial small subunit ribosomal RNA", at positions 29 to 506 of the family's 1533-position model. The record is from RNAcentral.
AGUGAACGCUGGCGGUAGGCCUAACACAUGCAAGUCGAACGGCAGCACAGUAAGAGCUUGCUCUUACGGGUGGCGAGUGGCGGACGGGUGAGGAAUACAUCGGAAUCUACUUUUUCGUGGGGGAUAACGUAGGGAAACUUACGCUAAUACCGCAUACGACCUACGGGUGAAAGCAGGGGAUCUUCGGACCUUGCGCGAUUGAAUGAGCCGAUGUCGGAUUAGCUAGUUGGCGGGGUAAAGGCCCACCAAGGCGACGAUCCGUAGCUGGUCUGAGAGGAUGACCAGCCACACGGGAAUUAGGACAGGGCCCAGACCCCUAGGGGGGGCAGCAGGGGGAAUUAUGGGAAAAUGGGCGAAAGCCUGACCCAGCCAUCCCGGGGGGGUGAAGAAGGCCUUCGGGUGGUAAAGCCUUUUUGUUGGGAAAAAAAAGCAGCAGGUUAAAACCCCGCUUUUCUGACGGUACCCAAAAAAAAAGCACCGGCUAACUUCGU